RNAcentral lists this ribosomal RNA (465 nucleotides) under uncultured bacterium. RNAcentral's name for it is "partial 16S ribosomal RNA". It matches the Rfam family "Bacterial small subunit ribosomal RNA", at positions 338 to 795 of the family's 1533-position model. The record is from RNAcentral.
CCUACGGGUGGCUGCAGUAGGGAAUCUUCCACAAUGGGCGAAAGCCUGAUGGAGCAACGCCGCGUGGGUGAAGAAGGUCUUCGGAUCGUAAAACCCUGUUGUUAGAGAAGAAAGUGCGUGAGAGUAACUGUUCCCGUUCUGACGGUACCUAACCAGAAAGCCACGGCUAACUACGUGCCAGCAGCCGCGGGAAUACGUAGGUGGCAAGCGUUAGCCGGAUUGAUGGGGCGUAAAGGGAACGCAGCCGGUCUUGUAAGUCUGAUGUGAAAGCCUUCGGCUUAACUUCGGUUCGGCAUUGGAUACUGGCAGACUAGAGUGUGGUAGAGGUAAAGGGAAUUCCUGGUGUAGCGGUGAAAUGCGUAGAUAUCAGGAGGAACAUCGGUGGCGAAAGCGCUUUACUGGACCGUUAUUGACGCUGAGGAACGAAAGCCAGGGGAGCAAAUGGGAUUAGAUACCCGUGUAGUC